RNA transcript from Brienomyrus brachyistius, 3936 nucleotides. It is a transcript of the gene named metal transporter CNNM2-like, with no coding region annotated. The record is from RefSeq and is a predicted model, not a curated record. NCBI's taxonomy places the organism in Eukaryota, Metazoa, Chordata, Actinopteri, Osteoglossiformes, Mormyridae. The transcript is spliced from 7 exons.
CAAUCUGAGGGACAACACCAGAAGCACGAGUUCAUACAAAGCUCGCGCUGGUUAGUGAUCAGUAUUAGGCGCGUAGUGUAAGUAAGCAGGUCCGAUGCGCUAGUCAAGGCAACCCACAGCAGAGAUGAAGGCGGACUCUUAUUGGCUCUGAUUUUUAAAGCCCUUUUCAUUCAAAAGAGGUUGCCCAUUAACAACAUGGCAGAGCUGUCGGCCACGGUACCCACUGCAAAAAUGGCGGCACUUAGCCGGGUCCGAGCCCUGACUCUGGUUUUCUUAACUGUCAGCGCUUGUUUGGUGAGCUCGACAAGUGGAAAGGACGGGGAGGAUGAGACGGUUAUUAUAGGUCUUAGACUGGAGGACACGGAUGACAUUUCCUUUAUGGACAGGGGAUAUUUGCGGGUUAGUGAAAGGACUCGUGUCAAGUUGAGGGUCUAUGGGCAAAACAUUAACAACGAGACUUGGUCCAAAAUUGCGUUCACAGAGCACGAACGUACCAAAGUCAUUGGCAACAUUGACAGCUCAUCUGGUGACAACAACAGCCAAGAGGACACGUCCAGCUUCUUUCCUUGCGGCAUUAGAACCUCGGAUAUUAUAAUCCUGCCCAACAUAGUCCUAAAUAGAAAAACAUCGGGGAUAAUUGAAAUCGAAGUCAAGCCUCUGCGAAAAACAGAAAGAAGUAAAGCGUACUACUUGUGCAUUGCCACUUCAGCGCCUGCUGCAGCAGGCUUGCACGACCCAUGGAGCGAGAAUACUUGGGUCUAUCACGAUGGUGAUGAUACUAAAGUUAUAGUGGUGGAAGAGAAAAAGUUUUUGCUUCCCUUCUGGCUACAAGUCAUCUUCAUCUCCAUGCUCCUGUGUCUGUCGGGCAUGUUUAGCGGGUUGAAUUUGGGAUUGAUGGCGCUGGAUCCCAUGGAACUGCAGAUAGUUCAGAACUGUGGCACGGAAAAGGAGAAAAGCUAUGCGAAGAAAAUCGAGCCCGUACGAAGUCAGGGGAAUUACCUACUUUGCUCGCUUCUCUUAGGAAACGUCUUGGUCAAUACUACUUUAACUAUUCUGCUCGAUGACAUUGCAGGAUCUGGAUUGAUCGCGGUCGUAAUGUCAACCAUUGGAAUAGUCAUAUUCGGGGAAAUCGUGCCUCAGGCUAUAUGCUCGAGACACGGUCUUGCAGUCGGUGCGAAUACCAUAUUCUUGACCAAAUUCUUCAUGCUGCUUACCUUCCCAGCUUCCUAUCCCGUAAGCAAACUUUUAGAUUAUCUUCUGGGCCAGGAGAUCGGAACCGUAUAUAACAGAGAGAAACUCCUGGAGAUGCUAAGAGUUACAGAUCCGUAUAACGAUUUAGUUAAAGAGGAGCUGAACAUCAUUCAGGGAGCUUUGGAGCUCAGGACUAAGACCGUGGAAGAUGUGAUGACACCCCUGAGAGAUUGCUUUAUGAUUGCGGGGGAUGCUAUACUCGACUUUAAUACGAUGUCAGAAAUUAUGGAGAGUGGGUACACUCGCAUCCCCGUGUUUGAAGGGGACAGGUCUAACAUCGUGGACAUACUCUUCGUCAAAGACCUGGCGUUUGUGGAUCCGGAUGACAGUACCCCCCUGAAAACGAUCACCAAGUUUUAUAGCCACCCUUUGCAUUUCGUCUUCAAUGACACCAAACUGGAUGCCAUGCUGGAGGAGUUUAAGAAAGGUAAAUCCCACCUGGCGAUUGUCCAGAGGGUAAACAACGAGGGGGAAGGAGACCCCUUCUACGAGGUGCUGGGUAUCGUCACCUUGGAAGAUGUUAUCGAAGAAAUCAUCAAGUCUGAAAUUUUGGAUGAGACUGACUUGUAUACCGACAACAAAACGAAAAAGAAAAUAACCCAUCGGGAAAGGAAGCAGGAUUUCUCGGCCUUCAGGCCCACGGACAAUGAGACGAAGGUUAAAAUAUCACCUCAGCUUCUACUGGCUACACUGCGUUUCCUAGCAACAGAAGUAGAACCCUUCAGUCCGACUCAGAUGUCUGAGAAGAUUCUCCUGCGUCUUCUCAAACACCCCAACGUCAUCCAGGAGCUGAAGUACAACGACAAGAACAAGAGAGCUCCAGAUCACUACCUCUUCCACCGCAACAAGCCUGUAGACUACUUCAUCCUCAUCCUUCAGGGCAAAGUGGAGGUGGAGGCAGGCAAGGAGGGCAUGAGGUUUGAAGCUGGACCGUUUUCCUCCUAUGGAGUGAUGUCCCUGACCGUCUCCCCAGUUCCUCUGUCCCUGUCUCGCACCUUUGUGGUCAGUAGGGCCGAGUCACUAGCCGGAUCACCAGGUACAGUACAUCUCAAAUGCGCAACUCUCCCGCCCUCCGAGUCUGUUAUACCGACUGUCUCUCAAGCUAUCUCUACGUCUACGUAUUCUGUCCAAUGAAAGACACGUCUCUUCAAAAAUCCAUUUCAGGAGCAAAAAAAUAACACAUUUUCUCAGAAACUACAAGAUCAAACAAUGAAUGAACCACCGUUAGCCCCACAGAUAGAUACGCUGUCAGUGAACAGCUUAAUGUUUUAAAUGGAUUGUCAGCAAGAAACUUGAUACAAACUAUUCUUACCUAAUGUUCACAAUUAACAAUGUUAGGUAGCUAAAUAUCAAUGUUAAGUUGUUCUUUUAUGUAAUAUAAAGCAAGCAACUGUCAUGAAUAGAAAUGUUAACUAAUACAAAGAUACUAGUUAAGUGGAGCACUUCAUGAAGCGUGUUUUCAUUGGUCAAUUAGAUUAAAUAGUAUCAGUAGACAGAUGAGAAUGUAGCGAAAUCGUCGAAAAAGUGGACGUACGCAGUUUUCAUCAGUGAUGUUAUGUCACCCUUAUGACCCAAGUACUUAAAGCACUUUGGCCAAUGUUGUCACCCAAGCCUGAAUAUCACAUACGGCACUGUCACCUUUUAAGGCACUAUGUUUAUAUAUGAGAAGGGAAAUAACUGUUUCAGUAGUGUGAUCCAUAACUGGAAUUUAUUCUGAGUGACUGAACAAUGGUAAGCCAGUUCUUAACCCCCACAUAGCUGGAUUCUUUCAGUUUUAUGCUUUUUUUUGUCUCAAUCCCCUGGUGCUGUGCUGGUAAUGUAUAGUCACACACCCAGCUCUGUAAACAGGGACGUGAAGUACAGUGUCCAGCUGGCCCAGCAGUAGAGAAACACCCUCCCAGUGAACUGGCCUUUCUGGCCUCUCUCACUGAUCUCAGAGGCUGACUCGGCCCACAUCUGGUAUAGUGACCUUCUCAGCAAGAAUUUUCCGAUUGCCGAAUUACAUCAGUCCCAGCCCCGGAGCCUUGGGACUGCGGGAAAGGUAGCGUCCUGAUCACACAUGCCUGGCUCACAUGCCUGGCAUAUUGCACUAGUGCACCUAGCUUUAAAUUGAUAUCCAGACUGGGAUUAUAUACAUUCCAUCCAAAUUGAAGUUCAGAGGCUACCCUUGGGAAGCCCUUUCAACAUUUCCUUUAAGAAGGGAAAACAUAAUCUGUCUUUAAUUAAAAAAAAAAACAAAUAUUCCCAUUGAAACAGACAUUUUAUCACUGCACUCCGACAUUCAUUUUAGUUUUCCAGGCAGUUUUUCCACAGAGUCAGCAGAGUAGCUGUAUCUUCUCAUCUUCCCAGUUCAUGGGAAGCGGUUUUGCGUAGGACAAUGAAGUUCCUCUUGUCCUGUGAUUGGAGUACCUUUCACCUACUAGAAAAUAUCAGCGGACAAAGAGCCCCACCUUGUGGUCAGAUGUGCAUUUUUAUAUAUUUUUUUUUUUUCAAAGAAUUUGAGAAAGUCUUGAAAAUCCAUUAAAAAGGUCACAGAAUAUUGAACCAGAGAAUAAGUCCCCCCCGAGGUCGUUCGGGCUGAAUCACUCGGACUCCCUGAACCGCAGCGACCGGAUCGAUGCCGUUACUCCCACGCUGGGUAGCAGCAACAACCAGCUCAACACCUUCCUUCAGAUCUACAUGCCA